UAUGUGAUCGUCUCUCGCAUAUCAAUAAGCGGAGGAAAAGAAACUAACAAGGAUUCCCCUAGUAACGGCGAGUGAAGCGGGAAGAGCUCAAAUUUGAAAUCUUAAAGGGUUUCCCUUUACGAAUUGUAGUUUAAAGAAGUGUUUUCUGUUGAGGUUUUGGUAAAAGUUCUUUGGAAUAGGACAUCAUAGAGGGUGAGAAUCCCGUAUUUGACCUUUACUUUCAACUUUGUGAUACACUUUCAAAGAGUCGGAUUGUUUGGGAAUGCAGUCCAAAAUGGGUGGUAAAUUUCAUCUAAAGCUAAAUAUUGGCGAGAGACCGAUAGCGAACAAGUACCGUGAGGGAAAGAUGAGAAGAACUUCGAAAAGAGAGUUAAACAGUACGUGAAAUUGUCAAAAGGGAAGCGUUUGACACCAGUGUUGUUUUUCUGAAAAUCAAUUAAAGAACUGUUUAUGCUAAGCUGUUUAGACUUUAUCAGCUAUCUGUUUAGUUUUGAGCUUUUCUUUAAUGCACUUUUCAGUUAACAAGUCAACAUCAAUUUCUUUUGCUGUAAAAAAGCUUGAGGAAGGUGGCUUGAGAUUCGUCUUAAGUGUUUAUAGCCUCUUGCCUAUGCAGUCGGAGAGAUUGAGGUCUGCAGCGUAGAUCCUUCGGGGCUAAAUGCAUUUGUGCUAAGUUAUAGCAUUUUAUAGACAACUUGUUGACUAUGAUUUGUCUUGUAGCUUACUCGCUUAUGCUAUUUUACCUACGCUUAGGAUGUUGAGUCAUCAGCACAUCUCU
RNAcentral lists this ribosomal RNA (775 nucleotides) under uncultured Neocallimastigales. RNAcentral describes it as "partial large subunit ribosomal RNA". It matches the Rfam family "Eukaryotic large subunit ribosomal RNA", at positions 24 to 612 of the family's 3401-position model. The record is from RNAcentral. Lineage: Eukaryota; Fungi; Neocallimastigomycota; Neocallimastigomycetes; Neocallimastigales.